Molecule: long non-coding RNA, 719 nt
Organism: Aedes aegypti (yellow fever mosquito)
Lineage: Eukaryota; Metazoa; Arthropoda; Insecta; Diptera; Culicidae
Exons: 4
Source: RefSeq, a predicted model, not a curated record
AAACAUGUAUUGGGGAAUGCUUAAUUUUAUGUAAAACGGCAUUUCAUAUAAAAGGAGGCUGGAAUGUGGCGAUCUUUCUCUUUAUUAUCAGUGAUCCUUGAACGGAGUAGAAGUAGCGCGCGUGUGUAAAAAGUGAAUAUUGAGGAUCAGUUAAACAUUAAAAAUUGUGUUAAUAGCUUGUUAGUAAUAGUACGGAAAGUAAUUCGUUAAAAUGUGUUAGUAUGCUAAAGUUAUCAAUACGAUGAACAUACAACAAUACAAUGAACGAACACGACGUUUAACCAAACGUUAAACAAGAAAAAGGUCCUCUCCUGGGACCUUUUUCUUUUAUGUCAUUUCCUGAGUUUCCUGCAGUGUAGUGUCGUAGAUGUGCCAUCCGGAAGGCCGUGCGAGUCGUCCUUGCUCCAGAAUCGGUCUGUGUGACCAUCGCUUCGUUUUGGAGGUAGAUGCCGCGCCCCCAUUGCUUUUGGCCACGAGGUUGCGCAAUGUAAAGCAUCACCCUUCCGACGUCGGCCAUCUUCCGACCCUCGCCAGAAAAGCUCAAUCCAGCAAACAUACCAUUCGACCAGCAGUCCCAAGGUCGAGGUCCGUUACGUCCAUCGAACAACAUCCACAAGUUCAGUCCAGCAACCACCGGUGAAGAUCUAUACCACAAAAAGCAUGCAAGUACCCAUAUUGUGACGUCACUAUCAAUAAUGUUAAUAAAUUGUAAAAUUGAA